UCUUGCUUUCGUAUUAUUUUUGCUUUGUUUCCCUUAUUGCAAUCUAUCGUUUUGGGGCUGAUUUCGCCCAGAGUUUUGCUUAUUUCUCGCUGUUUUGUCUCCAAUUAGUGAUAGGUUUGCUUGCGAAUUCAAGUAUUCCCUUAGGGUCUUGCGAACUCAAGUAUUUCCUAUCAAAAAUACCACAACCAAAUGAGGGAACGUUGGUGGCAAUUGAGGUUGCUGAUGACCAGGUGGUAGCCUUGCAAUGGAAGAGCUGUUAGAGUAGCCAACACUUGCUAUGAAAUUCCCUUGCCUAAGCUCUCUUUCAGGAUACGGCUUGACCAAUCUACGAAUUUAUCAACUUUCCUUCCAGAAAUUUUCUGGGAAGUCAAUUGAAUUAAUUCAGGUAUACCGAAUACACUCAAUGUUGUAUCAAACGUUCCUUACCUUGUAGUGGGUGUUGUUGGGCUUAUACUUUGCUAUCAUGGAAAUUACUUUAGAUUGAGCUUGAAAGGCGAGCUAUGGGGUUGGUCAUUCUUUUUCGUUGGCGUGGCUGCGGUUGCUUUUGGUUCCUCCUAUUACCAUGCAAUGCCAAAUGAUGCUCGACUUGUUUGGGAUCGCUUACCUAUUUUGGACCGUUUUGUACAAACGGUAUAUGGUCACUAUGGGACUGAAGCAUUCAACAUCUUGUUCAUGCUACAAUGUUUGCAAUCAGCACAUGUUCUUGCAUAAUCACAAAGGAGUAAUGAAUAGCACUCACUUUUUUCUAAUAAUAAUGUCUAGAAUGGUACGACAUCUCUCAGAUUAAUUUAUAUUUACAAUGCAUCAGCAAAUCAUAAAUGCUCUAGCGAAAGUUGUUUUUUAGUUCAUGUUAGCUCAAGUGUUAUCUGUACAAUUGAAGAAUAAGCUUGUUCUUGGAUUCACGUUUAACAAAUAUAAUUUGAAUAAACUAAAUGCAAGAUUUUGUUUGUUUUUUAAUUGAAAAUGUUAUACAAUUAGUGUGUGAGACUUUAUAUAAAGAAUUGAGAUGUUAUUUU
Long non-coding RNA from Dendrobium catenatum, 1016 nucleotides. RefSeq lists it as uncharacterized. The record is from RefSeq and is a predicted model, not a curated record. NCBI's taxonomy places the organism in Eukaryota, Viridiplantae, Streptophyta, Magnoliopsida, Asparagales, Orchidaceae. The transcript is spliced from 5 exons.